Cyprinus carpio carpio is the source of this 515-nucleotide long non-coding RNA. The record is from Ensembl. Lineage: Eukaryota; Metazoa; Chordata; Actinopteri; Cypriniformes; Cyprinidae.
UUUCCUGUUUAGUCAGGGCAGUCGUGGCCUAAUGGAGUCGGAUUUGUAACCCGAAGGUCACAGGUUCCAGUCUCAGGUCUGGCAGGGAUUGUAGGUGCCAAAUAUCCAGCGCUCUCUCCACCUUCAAUACCACGACUGAGACUGCAAAAUAGGACAAUAUCAGCCAAUGCAUCUUCAGCUGCAGGUUCAACAAAUGGGUUUCAAUAAUGAGUUACUGGUUUCAGCUCAGCUUCUCCCAAACACCUUUAUCUUCCCAUUUUUUACUUGCCAUCACGAGCCCUCUCUCCUUCGCGUCAGUUUUGGUUUAUUAUAAACACUUUUUCUUUGAUGAUGAACCAACCACGCUGAUGGCUGUCAAAUGGACGGCCAUUCUGGUCUUCUCCAGAAUGCCCCUGACCACAAACUACAGUGAUGACUUAAUUAACUUCAGCUCGAUGCUCCGGAUGAACAAGGCCAUAAACAGUGGGCGGAGUCAGCGUCACAGCGGAACUCACUCAAUUGGACAAAUUACACCC